UUUAUUUUAGAUAAUUUUAUUUAUGCAUAUAUGUAGAUGUGCAACAAUACACAACAUUAUUUCAAUGCUCACUCUUAGAUAUAACAUAUCCGAAAUAUAUAAUAAUAGCAAUUAUUUCAUGAUAAUUGUAUUUUCUCUACAUUCAAAUUCUUAUUUACAUUUGUAACAUUUCAUGAAUACAGUGAGCCUACGUCAUAGGUGUCGUCUGUAAGGGGUGAAGAAGUUCAUAUAUCAUAGUAAUCUAAGCCCAUGAUAUGGAUUAAAAGAAAUAUAUAAAAGAAAUUUGUUUGUCAACAAAUGAUACAAAUUUAGAAAAGACUGACUUUUUAUUUUGAUUCAUAAAAUAUCUAAAUAUGUGGUGCCUAUUAUGAUACGUAUCGCAACAAAUCACUGUUAUACGGUAAUAUUUAAAUUAGCCAACAGUUCAAGAAACAAUCUCAGUCCAUAAGACUGCUAUGCACCAAAGUUAAGUAGUUCAUAGGUUCCAUAGUCGCACCGUGCUGUAAAUUCACUGGUGAUCUCCCUUAUGCCGGUUAAUUUGAAGUAACAAAGCAGUGGUAGUAGGGCCUAUUAUCUAAGUCGACUCAUACUAUUCACAUUUGAAACAAUUAGACCUAUAAUUGUAUUUAUAAUAUCCAACUUCAAGUCUGGCUUUUAAAUGCACAUUACGGCUGGGUAGUAAAUUGUUGACUUCCACGAAAACACAAUUUUAGCAACGACAGCGAAAAUGUAAAGCAAAAUAAUUAUUUACAAAAAUAUGAUAUUCGGAAACACACUGCACAGUGACUGCCAGUGCCCACAGACCUAUAUAUUACGAUGCAGUAUAUAUAGGUCAGUGAUACUGAUCUUAAAAUGUUAACAAAGAAGUGAAGCCAAAAGAAAAAGAGCAUACAUAAAAAAAAGGUAAAAAUUUUAAAUAUAUACUAAACUAAUACAGCUUUUUUCUUUAUAAUAAAAUGAAACAAUUUUAUAACAAUUUAGUUCUAGUUUCCUUUGUGCUAUUUCUUUGUUUCCAUUUAUAAGGUGUCUUCAUAUUUUCAUUUUUUUUUUUUUUUUUUG
This is a non-coding RNA of Biomphalaria pfeifferi, 1059 nucleotides long. NCBI's taxonomy places the organism in Eukaryota, Metazoa, Mollusca, Gastropoda, Planorbidae. The record is from the annotation of a GenBank genome assembly.